CAGGCCCAAGAGAUCCCAACAGGAAUCUACCUGCUAUAGAAAUUCUCACCACUGAUAAGAACAAAACCAGACGACAAUUUCAGUGGGUCCGCGUCGACCAAGAGUGACGGUAAUGGAGGUGGAGAGGAACGAACACAUCAGAACUGCGAGGGCAAAGAGAAGCAGCUGUGAGGAGCCUGCAAGCUUCCCCAAAGGUGCCCCUCACCUGUGUCACCUC
Molecule: long non-coding RNA, 217 nt
Organism: Oreochromis niloticus (Nile tilapia)
Lineage: Eukaryota; Metazoa; Chordata; Actinopteri; Cichliformes; Cichlidae
Exons: 3
Source: RefSeq, a predicted model, not a curated record